This 67-nucleotide transfer RNA is filed under the name Marmota monax (woodchuck). RNAcentral describes it as "tRNA.Ala". Lineage: Eukaryota; Metazoa; Chordata; Mammalia; Rodentia; Sciuridae. The record is from RNAcentral.
GGUUGUGGCUCCGUGGUAGAGUGCUUGCCUUGCAUGUGUGAGGCACUGGGUUCGAUCCUCAGCACCA